This 218-nucleotide long non-coding RNA is filed under the name Daucus carota (carrot). RNAcentral describes it as "long non-coding RNA (DCAR_LNC007618)". Lineage: Eukaryota; Viridiplantae; Streptophyta; Magnoliopsida; Apiales; Apiaceae. The record is from RNAcentral.
GAGAAUGUUAAUGCGAUUAUCUCUCUAAGGUCGGGAAAUCAAGUGGAUAACAAAGUUGGUGAGAACGUUAAUGAAAAUGAGGAGUCGAUUCCUAAAACAAAUCCUUCUUUGUCUAGCACUAAUCAUGAUAAGCCCGAAUGUUCUAGAGUCCGUGAGUCUAUGAGUGAACCUAGUCCUGGGCCCAUUUCUCAAAAGCCCAACGAAGAAGUUUAUAAGCC